CCUACGGGAGGCUGCAGUAGGGAAUCUUCCACAAUGGGCGAAAGCCUGAUGGAGCAACGCCGCGUGGGUGAAGAAGGUCUUCGGAUCGUAAAACCCUGUUGUUAGAGAAGCAAGUGCGUGAGCGUAACUGUUCACGUUUCGAAGGUAUCUAACCAGCAAGCCACGGCUAACUACGGGCCAGCAGCCGCGGUAAUACGGAGGUGGCAAGCGUUAUCCGGAUUUAUUGGGCGUAAAUGGAACGCAGGCGGUCUUUUAAGCAUGAUGGGAAAGCCUUCGGCUUAACCGGAGUAGUGCAUUGGAAACUGGGAGACUUGAGUGCAGAAGAGGAGAGUGGAACUCCAGGUGUAGCGGUGAAAUGCGUAGAUAUAUGGAAGAACACCAGUGGCGAAAGCGGCUCUCUGGUCUGUAACUGACGCUGAGGUUCGAAAGCGUGGGUAGCAAACAGGAUUAGAUACCCCAGUAGUC
This 465-nucleotide ribosomal RNA is filed under the name uncultured bacterium. Its description in RNAcentral is "partial 16S ribosomal RNA". It matches the Rfam family "Bacterial small subunit ribosomal RNA", at positions 338 to 795 of the family's 1533-position model. The record is from RNAcentral.